UGUCGCUCGAGCAGUAUUUUUCACAUACCUUUUAUUUAAAUUAAGAGCCGUUAGGAAAUUUAAUUCAAUUGACACACAACAAAGUACUUCUGACGCCCAAAGUUCUGUUUGUAGGAGUUUCCUUAUGAUGCAGAAUUCUUCAAUUCUCUAACUUCACUUCAUCCAAAAAAGUGGGACUUCAUUAGACGGCUGGUGCUGAGGUCCUUGGGGAGGCAGGGACACACAAACACUCUGGCUGAGUCUGAGCAAGGAGAGCUACGCACAGGAAGCCAGGCUCAGACGCACUGUUUGCCUGGGUUCGUUUCUUUUGUUUGCUACUGUGUUUUUAAGAACAGUGCUUGGAAGAAAUUAAU
Molecule: long non-coding RNA, 353 nt
Filed under: Lepisosteus oculatus (spotted gar)
Lineage: Eukaryota; Metazoa; Chordata; Actinopteri; Semionotiformes; Lepisosteidae
Description: lncRNA (ENSLOCG00000021864.1)
Source: RNAcentral